UACGUAGGGUGCAAGCGUUGUCCGGAAUUAUUGGGCGUAAAGAGCUCGUAGGCGGCUCGUCACGUCGGCUGUGAAAACCCGGGGCUCAACCCCGGGCCUGCAGUCGAUACGGGCGGGCUAGAGUCCGGUAGGGGAGACUGGAAUUCCUGGUGUAGCGGUGAAAUGCGCAGAUAUCAGGAGGAACACCGGUGGCGAAGGCGGGUCUCUGGGCCGGAACUGACGCUAAGGAGCGAAAGCGUGGGGAGCGAACAGG
This 253-nucleotide ribosomal RNA is filed under the name uncultured bacterium. Its description in RNAcentral is "partial 16S ribosomal RNA". It matches the Rfam family "Bacterial small subunit ribosomal RNA", at positions 524 to 776 of the family's 1533-position model. The record is from RNAcentral.